AUUGUAGUCAUAUGCUUGUCUCAAAGAUUAAGCCAUGCAUGUCUAUGCAUAAGCCAAUCAAUGGUGAAGCCGCGAAUGGCUCAUUACAACAGCUUUCAUUUCUUGGGUGUCUCUCUACUUGGAUAACUCUGUCAACCCAGAGCUAAUACAUGCACAAAAGCUCUGCCUUAUGGCAGGGCGCAUUUAUUUGAUCAAAACCAAUCAGGCUUUGCCUGGUUAUUGAUGACUCUGAGUAAACAGUGGAUCGCACAGUCCUAGUACUGGCGACAAACUCUUCAAGUGUCUGCCUUAUCAACUUUCGAUGGUAGUUUAAGUGCCUACCAUGGUUACAACGGGUAACGGGGAAUAAU
Molecule: ribosomal RNA, 350 nt
Filed under: uncultured eukaryote
Lineage: Eukaryota
Description: bacterial SSU rRNA
Rfam family: Eukaryotic small subunit ribosomal RNA
Source: RNAcentral